GCGGGCUGUGGCAGAGCGGUCCAAUGCGAUCGCCGUGGGGGAGGGCCCCUCCGCGGCGAGUGACGGAGACGGGGUGGCCUUGCCCCUGUCUGUCUCGCGGGUUCGAAUCCCGUCAGCACCGCA
This 123-nucleotide transfer RNA is filed under the name Streptomyces sp. SID6041. RNAcentral describes it as "tRNA-OTHER". Lineage: Bacteria; Bacillati; Actinomycetota; Actinomycetes; Kitasatosporales; Streptomycetaceae. The record is from RNAcentral.